AACACGUGAGUGACCUGCCUUUUAGACUGGAACAACUUACCGAAAGGUGAGCUAAUGCCGGAUGAGUUAUAUAAGUGCAUGUUUAUAUAGGAAAAGUUGGGGAGACCUGACGCUGAAAGAUGGACUCGCGUCCCAUUAGCUAGUUGGUAGGGUAAUGGCCUACCAAGGCGACGAUGGGUAGCCGGCCUGAGAGGGUGGCCGGCCACACUGGGACUGAGACACGGCCCAG
This 229-nucleotide ribosomal RNA is filed under the name uncultured Deferribacteres bacterium. RNAcentral's name for it is "partial 16S ribosomal RNA". It matches the Rfam family "Bacterial small subunit ribosomal RNA", at positions 112 to 334 of the family's 1533-position model. The record is from RNAcentral. Lineage: Bacteria; Pseudomonadati; Deferribacterota; Deferribacteres.